RNAcentral lists this ribosomal RNA (496 nucleotides) under uncultured bacterium. RNAcentral describes it as "partial 16S ribosomal RNA". It matches the Rfam family "Bacterial small subunit ribosomal RNA", at positions 30 to 523 of the family's 1533-position model. The record is from RNAcentral.
AUUGAACGCUGGCGGAAUGCUUUACACAUGCAAGUCGAACGGUAGAGGGGGCAACCCCUCGAGAGUGGCGAACGGGUGAGUAAUAUAUCGGAACGUGCCCAGUCGUGGGGGAUAACGUAGCGAAAGUUACGCUAAUACCGCAUACGAUCUAAGGAUGAGAGCGGGGGAUCGCAAGACCUCGCGCGAUUGGAGCGGCCGAUAUCAGAUUAGGUAGUUGGUGGGGUAAAGGCUCACCAAGCCAACGAACUGUAGCUGGUCUGAGAGGACGACCAGCCACGCUGGAACUGAGACACGGUCCAGACUCCUACGGGAGGCAGCAGUGGGGAAUUUUGGACAAUGGACGGAAGUCUGAGCCAGCCAUUCCGCGUGCAGGAUGAAGGCCCUCGGGUUGUAAACUGCUUUUGUACGGAACGAAAAGGUCUCUCUUAAUACGGGGGACUCAUGACGGUACCGUAAGAAUAAGCACCGGCUAACUACGUGCCAGCAGCCGCAGUAA